RNAcentral lists this non-coding RNA (30 nucleotides) under unclassified sequences. The record is from RNAcentral.
CUAUGGUUUUUUUAACCAUGGCGGAAGGAG